GCAGAGCACUCCUCGGGAGGCAGCAGUGGGGAAUAUUGCACAAUGGGCGCAAGCCUGAUGCAGCCAUGCCGCGUGUAUGAAGAAGGCCUUCGGGUUGUAAAGUACUUUCAGCAGUGAGGAAGGUGGAUAUGUUAAUAGCAUAUUCAUUUGACGUUAGCUGCAGAAGAAGCACCGGCUAACUCCGUGCCAGCAGCCGCGGUAAUACGGAGGGUGCGAGCGUUAAUCGGAAUUACUGGGCGUAAAGCGCAUGCAGGUGGUUUGUUAAGUCAGAUGUGAAAGCCCGGGGCUCAACCUCGGAAUUGCAUUUGAAACUGGCAAACUAGAGUACUGUAGAGGGGGUAGAAUUUCAGGUGUAGCGGUGAAAUGCGUAGAGAUCUGAAGGAAUACCGGUGGCGAAGGCGGCCCCCUGGACAGAUACUGACACUCAGAUGCGAAAGCGUGGGGAGCAAACAGGAUUAGAUACCCUGGUAG
This 471-nucleotide ribosomal RNA is filed under the name uncultured bacterium. RNAcentral describes it as "bacterial SSU rRNA". It matches the Rfam family "Bacterial small subunit ribosomal RNA", at positions 328 to 793 of the family's 1533-position model. The record is from RNAcentral.